GUAGGGAAUAUUGGGCAAUGGAGGCAACUCUGACCCAGCCAUGCCGCGUGCAGGAUGACGGCCCUCUGGGUUGUAAACUGCUUUUAUCCGGGAAGAAAAAAUACUACGUGUAGUAUACUGACGGUACCGUAAGAAUAAGGAUCGGCUAACUCCGUGCCAGCAGCCGCGGUAAUACGGAGGAUCCAAGCGGUGUCCGGAUUUAUUGGGUUUAAAGGGUGCGUAGACGGAUCUUGAAGUCAGUGGUGAAAGAGUGCAGCUUAACUGUAGAAUUGCCAUUGAAACUGAAGAUCUUGAAUGUGGUUAAAGUAGGCGGAAUGUAUCAUGUAGGGGUGAAAUGCUUAGAUAUGAUACAGAACACCGAUAGCGAAGGCAGCUUGCUGAACCAUUAUUGACGCUGAGGCACGAAGGCGUGGGGAGCGAACAGGAUUAGAUACCCGUGUAGUCC
RNAcentral lists this ribosomal RNA (445 nucleotides) under uncultured bacterium. RNAcentral's name for it is "partial 16S ribosomal RNA". It matches the Rfam family "Bacterial small subunit ribosomal RNA", at positions 354 to 796 of the family's 1533-position model. The record is from RNAcentral.